RNAcentral lists this ribosomal RNA (508 nucleotides) under uncultured bacterium. RNAcentral describes it as "partial 16S ribosomal RNA". It matches the Rfam family "Bacterial small subunit ribosomal RNA", at positions 29 to 523 of the family's 1533-position model. The record is from RNAcentral.
AUUGAACGCUGGCGGCAGGCCUAACACAUGCAAGUCGAGCGGCAGCGGGAAAGUAGCUUGCUACUUUUGCCGGCGAGCGGCGGACGGGUGAGUAAUGCCUGGGGAUCUGCCCAGUCGAGGGGGAUAACUACUGGAAACGGUAGCUAAUACCGCAUACGCCCUACGGGGGAAAGCAGGGGACCUUCGGGCCUUGCGCGCUUGGAUGAACCCAGGUGGGAUUAGCUAGUUGGUGAGGUAAUGGCUCACCAAGGCGACGAUCCCUAGCUGGUCAGAGGAGAUGAUGAGGCAAACUGGAACUGGGGCAAGGGACAGGCUCCUCCGGGAGGCAGCAGUGGGGAAUAUUGCACAAUGGGGGAAACCCUGAUUGAGCCAUGCCGCGUGUGGGAAGAAGGGCUUCGGGUUGUAAAGCACUUUCAGCGAGGAGGAAAGGUUGGUAGCUAAUAACCGCCAGCUGUGACGUUACUCGCAGAAGAAGCACCGGCUAACUCCGUGCCAGCCGCCGCCGCAG